Molecule: ribosomal RNA, 249 nt
Filed under: uncultured bacterium
Lineage: Bacteria
Description: partial 16S ribosomal RNA
Rfam family: Bacterial small subunit ribosomal RNA
Source: RNAcentral
GCAAGUCGAGGGGUAACAUGGUUUUCGGACUGAUGACGACCGGCAAACGGGUGCGGAACACGUACACAACAUACCUUUUACAGGGGGAUAGCCCGAAGAAAUUCGGAUUAACACCCCGUAGCAUAAUAGAGAGGCAUCUCUUUAUUAUUAAAAAUUUAUUGGUAAAAGAUUGGUGUGCGUCCCAUUAGAUAGUUGGCGGGGUAACGGCCCACCAAGUCGACGAUGGGUAGCUGGUCUGAGAGGAUGAUC